AGUGAACGCUGGCGGCAGGCCUAACACAUGCAAGUCGAACGGCAGCACAGUAAGAGCUUGCUCUUACGGGUGGCGAGUGGCGGACGGGUGAGGAAUACAUCGGAAUCUACUUUUUCGUGGGGGAUAACGUAGGGAAACUUACGCUAAUACCGCAUACGUUCUACGGGUGAAAGCAGGGGAUCUUCGCACCUUGCGCGAUUGAAUGAGCCGAUGUCGGAUUAGCUAGUUGGCGGGGUAACGGCCCACCAAGGCGACGAUCCGUAGCUGGUCUGAGAGGAUGAUCGGCCACACUGGAACUGAGACACGGUCCAGACUCCUACGGGAGGCAGCAGUGGGGAAUAUUGGGCAAUGGGCGCAAGCCUGAUCCAGCCAUACCGCGUGAGUGAAGAAGGCCUUCGGGUUGUAAAGCCCUUUUGUUGGGAAAGAAAAGCAGCAGGUUAACACCCCGCUGUUCUGACGGUACCCAAAGAGUAAGCACCGGCUAACUUCGUG
Molecule: ribosomal RNA, 492 nt
Filed under: uncultured bacterium
Lineage: Bacteria
Description: partial 16S ribosomal RNA
Rfam family: Bacterial small subunit ribosomal RNA
Source: RNAcentral